RNAcentral lists this ribosomal RNA (581 nucleotides) under uncultured soil bacterium. RNAcentral describes it as "bacterial SSU rRNA". It matches the Rfam family "Bacterial small subunit ribosomal RNA", at positions 35 to 660 of the family's 1533-position model. The record is from RNAcentral.
GCUGGCGGCAGGCCUAACACAUGCAAGUCGAGCGGCCGUAGCAAUACGGCAGCGGCAGACGGGAGAGUAACACGUGGGAACGCGCCCUUCGGUUCGGGAUAACUCAGGGAAACUUGGGCUAAUACCGGAUACGCCCUUACGGGGAAAGAUUUAUUGCCGAAGGAACGGCCCGCGUCCGAUUAGCUUGUUGGUGAGGUAACGGCUCACCAAGGCGACGAUCGGUAGCUGGUCUGAGAGGAUGACCAGCCUCACUGGGACUGAGACACGGCCCAGACUCCUACGGGAGGCAGCAGUGGGGAAUAUUGGACAAUGGGCGCAAGCCUGAUCCAGCCAUGCCGCGUGGGUGAUGAAGGCCCUAGGGUUGUAAAGCCCUUUCGGCGGGGAAGAUAAUGACGGUACCCGCAGAAGAAGCCCCGGCUAACUUCGUGCCAGCAGCCGCGGUAAUACGAAGGGGGCUAGCGUUGCUCGGAAUUACUGGGCGUAAAGCGCACGUAGGCGGCUUUCUAAGUCGGGGGUGAAAUCCUGGAGCUCAACUCCAGAACUGCCUUCGAUACUGGAGAGCUCGAGUCCGGGAGAGGUGA